This 29-nucleotide non-coding RNA is filed under the name Bombyx mori (domestic silkworm). Lineage: Eukaryota; Metazoa; Arthropoda; Insecta; Lepidoptera; Bombycidae. The record is from RNAcentral.
UAUGAUUGGAAGCACUAUGAUUUAAAAGU